UAGGAUUGUAGUGCUACAGUACCGAUGCAAAACUCUCAGGGAAUGAAUAUGACGUAAUGGCAAUUGUAUUGAACCAAGUAACAUCAAUUCUUGCUACUAUUUUUUUUUUACUUUGCCACUGAUGAGUAGAAGUUGAUGGGUCAUUGGUGCUUUUAAAUGGAGUAGUGUACGAGAAGCACUUAGAAAUUAGGAGCAAGUUAUUAAAUUGUUUUGCUUUUUCAUAGAGUAAGUUAAUAAGGGUAUUUUUGGAAACAAAAUUAUGUUUUUGAUAGAUUUUAGAAUAUUAAAUGAAUUUCUUAAUAAGUGUGUUUUUUUUUUUUUCCCUUAUAAAUCGGGACGGAGGGAGUAUUAGAGAGGGGGUAACUUUUUCCUUUUAAAUUAGCAUCACACUAGCUAAAUAUAACUAGGAAAUAAA
Molecule: long non-coding RNA, 415 nt
Filed under: Trifolium pratense (red clover)
Lineage: Eukaryota; Viridiplantae; Streptophyta; Magnoliopsida; Fabales; Fabaceae
Description: long non-coding RNA (TPRA_LNC000751)
Source: RNAcentral